GUCAAUUGUAAAUAACAAGUUCAAUAAAAACAAAAUUGAAUUGAAAUUGAAUUGUUUUAGCCAUUAGCUUUCUAUUUUCCACUCAUCUUUAAUAUUCGAGCAUGGUCUACUGGUUAUUGUAUAUAUAUUUCAAUGGUACUAUCUUAAAGUCGAAUUUUCAGCCCUAUUCUGGCAAACCUCACUGUGUGACUUUUUCGUAUUCUAACGAAAACCUCACAUUCAUAAGAACCUUAUAAGGUGUGGUGAGUUUGAUUUUGUGAGGUUUUUCGAAUUCUGGGGUAACCUCACAACUUGUGAGCCUCAUAAAAAUUGUUAAAAUUGUGAUCUCCUUCAGAACAAGUCACAACUCACAAAUUACUAGAGUUUUGAUAUUUUUUAUUUCCAUAAAAUAUUUUGAUUAAACAAAAAUGGAACUAGACCUUGUUUUUUCGCAUCUUAUUACAGAAAGAAAAUCUAAAUCAAUAAGCAAUUCCAAGAAGAUCACCCCAAGGAAUGUGUCCCAAAUGUCUACCAUUGGAUGUUGGUUGCAUCUGGAGAUAGUUUCUCAGAAGUCAUCGAUGAAUAUUUGCGACAUGGCUUGCGUCGGUGUUACUUUGGACCAGUGGCGUAGAUAGGGGGGGGAUCAGGGGGAUAUAUCCCCCCCAUUGGGAUCGAUAUAAACAGUCAUGAAUAAAUAAGUUGAAGAAGCGCACUUUGAAAAAAAACGCUAUGGAUUUCGAGUUCUUGAUUAGCUUAAAGGUUAUAAAUAUGGUUUACCAACUUUCGUUGCCAUUAAGUCGGUGUUUCAAAGAGUGAAUUUAGACUUGGUCCAAGCAAUGAAGCUCGCUAAAGAUUUAAGGGAUCAACUAAAAAUUAAACGGGCAGACUCAUUUUCGAAAGUUUUUUGUAUAUGGGAAAAAUUAGCUGAAAUCCUUGACAUAGGCGUUAAACAUAAGAGAAUAGUGAAGCGACAAAAGAAUCGUUCGAACCCUUCGGUUCAAAGUACAGUAAAGAAUAUUUUCGUGUUACUGUUUUCAAUCUUUUUCUCGAUUUCGGUUCCUUCUAAGGAUUCUUCGUCUGAAAUAGACAAAGCAGCUAAAAAAUUUAAUGAAACUGUUGAGUUUUACCAAAAACUAGACCACAUAAAAUUGAACAAAAACAAUAAGAUUUUCUUAUAGUUUUCAUCCAAGAAGGAAAUAUUAUUUAAACAAUCGGGAUUUCCUAACUGUUUUACCGACUUCCAAAAAGGAGGAGUUAUUCAAUUCGUCUGUACUUUUUUUUGUGUUUGUCACCUCAUAACUUUGGACCGAGUGAACCAGUUUUGAUAAUUCUUUUUGUAGGUAUUGAAAAGCUGGUGCCUGUUCAGUACUAUUAGAAAAACCAUAAAACCCAGUUUUGAUCCAUGGAAGUCGGUUUUGUUUUUUUAAUAAAAAAAAUACGAUCAUGUACGGAAUCACCUAUUCCAACUUACUAUAGAAAUAUUGGUCACAAUUUUUGUUCUAGUGCCAAGUUGGAAAAAAUAUGAAAUUUUUACAAAAAAUUUUGAAAGAAAAAUACUUCCUCUAUGAACUCAUUGAAAGCGCUCGAAAGCUGCACCGAAAAAAGUUGUCCUGGUAUUUAUAUUUUAUUAAAGAUAUUAGCUACACUGCUGGUUUCUACGUCAACUACCGAAAGAACUUUCUCCAAUUUAAAGAGAAUAAAAACAAUACAAAGAAGCAUUAUUAAAACAUAAAAAAAAAUUUGCGAACUAGAUUUAUCCCCCCCCUUAGCAAAAAGCUAUCUACGCCACUGCUUUGGACAACGAUAUUUUUAAUCACAGCAUAAUGAUUUUAUGCCUAACACCAGGCUUCCAACAAGGCACAGUUGUCACUAAACUACUACUCGAAAUUUAGCCACUGCUUUCAGAAUCUAUCAGAGCUUCUUCAAGAAGGUGUUAAUCCAAAGGACUUGGACAAAAUGAGCAAAACAUUUGGAUUCCCUAUCGGAGCUGCAACCUUAGCUGAUGAAGUUGGUAUCGAUGUUGGAUCCCACACAUCCCACAGAUAUCAAAAGCAUUUGGUGACCGAUUCAGUGGACACAAUGUCAAAGUAAUGGAAGAUCCUAUAUCAAAGCUGAAUUAAUAGGACGUAACCCUUGGAAAGUGCAUUUUGUACAACUGCAAGACUUAGAUUGGAAAAAAGGUCAAUGGUGACAAGAUGGUUGAAAAUAAGAAAUAUUUUUUUUACUUCAGAUAUGAAAUGCAGAAAUCCAUUAAAACAAUUUGAUAAUAUUCUCAUGUAUACUUUUUGAAUAAUUUAAUUUUUUUUGUACCUAGGAAAUUUACGACUAUCGUCCAGUUAACUUUUGAUGUAUAAAUUUCGAUCGAAUUUGGCAGUCUGGAGAGAGCCAUCACACAUUUUUAACCUAGUCUAAGAGUAGAAAUGCCAUUUAGUAUAUGAAGUCUAAUCCGGAGAACACAUUCUAUUUUCAUUAGUUUCUCGAUGCCAAAGAAAUCAUUAACGCUAGAAUUCAUAGACAAAACUAUCGCUGAUAAAGUUGUUUCUCCCCAUAGAACGAAUACAUGUGCAAUGCAUGUGGUUUCUAACAAAAUGUGCAUUAUGCCCGUCGUACACCUAGCGUUCAAUGCAUUCAACGCAAAUUUAAAACCUUAAAUUCUAAUUGAUGGUGCUUUCAAUUAUAUUCAAACAAAGAGUUUUAAACAGUUGGAGAUCGCUACUAAACGAAUUAAUUAAAAAGUAUACGUAUAGUGGCGUCGUUUUUUAUAAUUAAUUUGUUAAAUUCGCGUUGAGUGCGUUGAACGCUAAGUGUACGACGGGCAUUAGCCUUUUAGCAUCUAGGAAAAUGCGGUGUUGCUCUGAAGAAAUGUCAUGGAGUUCAACGACAUUUAGCAGAAGUCAUCAAAGAUCAAUUUGAUUUCCACAUCGCAUUAGAAAGAUGAAUCAAACAAUUGACUUCCUUUUUUAUUUGAAAGUUAAGGCCAAAAAAAUGCAUUUCAUAUUUAUAUAUUUAAUAUCAUCCCAUCAUACAUAUUUACUAAUAGAACAAAUAUAAAUAUUUAAUACCGUCAAAUUGUAUGGUCUACAAUUUAAGUUAACGAAAAACUAUUUGGUGUUUUAUUUUUACAGACUUAUUAAAAGAAUCAAACCUCUUGGGACAACUAAAAGCAACGUCUCGAAGCCGGAUAGACUCAUACUUAUGUCGCUUUGAAUCCGUCCAAAUUCUAUUAUAUUUAUAACCCAAAAUAUGUUUUCCGUGACAUACAUUACAUAUAUUUGCAAUUCCUGAAAAAGAAUAUUACUCAACGCUUAAAGAGAAUAGAAAUCAACAUAUCGUUAUUAGUGAAAACAGAGCACAAAAUUUUCCAUUCCACUAUUUUACUGCUUUGUCACAAAAAGCAUCACAUUAAUCUGGUGUACAACAAACUAUUCUAAGUGCUGGACCUGUUCUUGAAGCUUUUGGUAAUGCUUAAACAGCUCAUAACAAUAACUCCAGUAGAGUUGAAACAUUUAUUGAAGUAGUGCAGUGCAGUGAAGAGCACACAAAAUCCUACCUAGUGUUAUAUGAACAAGUUUUUACAGAGCUUACUCCACAAGUCAAGAAUCUUGGAACGAAUCUAUAGCCGAUGUAGUUUUCCAAACUACAUUUAAUGGUGACUUAUUUAUGUAUAUGCAAACUUUCAAGCACAUAAGGAACGAGUGCAAAACUGAUCUUUUAGUUUGUUAUUCCACAAUUUUUAAAAGGAUUUGAUACAAAACAAAAGAUAAAAAGAUCCAAAUACAUCGGAAAAGAUAAAUAAAACAUAGGGCCAAUGUGGGUAAUUGUAAACAGGGGUAAAUGAAAACAUGGCUCAUAACAACACAGACAAUUAUAUACAGAUAUCGCAUCCCAUAGAAAAAUGAUGUCAUUAAAAUUUUUUCCAGCCGACACGUUUCAGCCGACAAGAGCUUUUUAAAUUGGAAUCAAAAAGGAGAAGAGAAUUUUUCAGCCGACAAAAAAGCUUUUUUUUUAAUUUAAAAAGAGAACAAUAAGAAAGGAUCCCUUACGACCAUGACCUUACUCACUCUCCCGCGAAAAUGAAAAAAGGAGUGCAUGUGGGUAGUUAGAAGUGGUUUCAAUUCGAUUUGACUUUCUAAGCAAUCAGCUGCUGUAAAAUAUUUCAAAUAGGUAUAUAUCGUACAUAGGAUUUCUUAAGGACUUCCCUUCAAGCAAGAAAACGGAGUUCAGAAAAGAAACUCCGACCUCCGACCGAGAAAAGCGGGGUUGCACUCACACACUUGCAACUUUUUGUGUAUGAACACAAAAGUCGAACGAGAAUCGUGGUGAAAAAGUGCGAAAAGGAAAACACCAUAUGAUAGAGAUAAGUGCAACCCCAUUUUGCAAAUUUGUUUAAACGUCAAAAUUAAUAAAACAAUAAAAAAAAAGUAAGUAAGUGAGCGAGUGGAGGAAGCGAAAGGUAAAUCAAAAUAUCGGCAGUGUUAUAAAUUUUGUUCUAGCGUUUUAUUACUAUCAAUAUACUUUCCUACUGAUUCUUAAAUAUAAUAACAAUCAAAUAACAAUUUUUCUAUUCAUAGGCACAUUCUCAAAAACCACCCGGCCACCACUCACAAAGUGGAGGAAAUACUGGACAUCCAUAGGUUCACCAACAACAGCAGCAACAACAAAUUAUAAGAUUUAUUUUAUUUAAUAUUUAUUUUAAUAUUUAAUAUUGUAUUUAUUGUAAUUUCUUUUGCUACAAAAACAUUAAAAUACAAAAAUUUUUUUUAGGUUAGAAAUGUCAAAUAUAUUCGAUACUCGAGUAUCGAUCGAUGUUUAAAUGCCGGACGUCAUUCGUUCCGACUUCGCCUUCG
Episyrphus balteatus (marmalade hoverfly) is the source of this 4826-nucleotide long non-coding RNA. RefSeq lists it as uncharacterized. The record is from RefSeq and is a predicted model, not a curated record. The transcript is spliced from 4 exons. NCBI's taxonomy places the organism in Eukaryota, Metazoa, Arthropoda, Insecta, Diptera, Syrphidae.